Molecule: non-coding RNA, 75 nt
Organism: Myotis davidii
Lineage: Eukaryota; Metazoa; Chordata; Mammalia; Chiroptera; Vespertilionidae
Source: Rfam
GGUGGUUCUCAGGUGAUGCAACCUGGAAUCAGGCUCCCUCCUUUCUGCUUCUGAGUGCUUCACUCAAGAACCGCA